UUGGUAGAAAAUUAGAAAAUCUUAGUAUGCCUGUCGAUACACAGUGAUGUUCUGCCACGGAUGGCAGAACAAGACUUCAUGAGCCAUGGAUGGCUCAUUGAAGCCGUUCACGUCAUUUUUCGGACACCUUUAUUAGGCAUACUUAGUAUUUCUUAUUUUCGGAC
RNAcentral lists this non-coding RNA (164 nucleotides) under uncultured Roseburia sp. The record is from RNAcentral. Lineage: Bacteria; Bacillati; Bacillota; Clostridia; Lachnospirales; Lachnospiraceae.